Long non-coding RNA from Pecten maximus, 1402 nucleotides. RefSeq lists it as uncharacterized. The record is from RefSeq and is a predicted model, not a curated record. Lineage: Eukaryota; Metazoa; Mollusca; Bivalvia; Pectinida; Pectinidae. The transcript is spliced from 4 exons.
UGACCAAAGUAAAGGGCAAGAUGUAAGUUUUAAAUCCAAUUGUAUCCUGGCAAAUUCCUUACCUGCUUCUGGCCAGGUUGUGUUUUACCAAAUAAUGACUUGCGGUAUCGUAUCAAGAAAUCGAGAAUUCCAAUGUUGGGCGUGAUUCAUCGUAAAAGAUCGACUACAGAACAAAGAGUCGAUUUGACACACCCUACAACUGCACAUGGAUAUUUACCUUAAUUAAGGAGGUGACCCAGUGAUCAUCUAUCUGACACCAGAGAGGUUGUAUCACUACGGAGCAGAACUAUGGCAGGCAACGUGACCCAGUGAUCAUCUAUCUAACACCAGAGAGGUUGUAUCACUACGGAGCAGAACUAUGGAACGCAAAGUCGAUUUGGAAUUGCGGCAAGCUGUUGGAUCUGGAGAUAUAUCCGAAGUUCGAAAACUUUUGGAAAAAGGAGCAGACCCAAACAAGGUAAAAACUUUACUCCUACAAAGUCGUGGUAGCCAAUAACGUAUUUUAAAUUAAAGCGACCACUUUCCUACCAUCCGUUUUGAGUUAGAUAAAGUGGCUUUGUCAUAACAUCCUUACAAUGUUAGUCUGUUAAACUUACAGACUUUAUUGGAUCGUUGAAAAUAAGUUAUUCUUCAUGUUAACACUAAAAUAAUCGUUUAAUUAUUUCAUCUCUAAAAUAACGAUGUUUAUACACAAAUUAAUAUUUCUUACAUCAAAUAUAGAUAAGUCUCAAUUUUGCAAUAAAUUGUUGGUAGAAAAAGCUAUCUGUUUUACAACAUUACGCCUACCGCUUUUGUUUAUUUGAAGAUUAACCUCACCCAGUCUGCUGUCAGUUCAUUACUGUUGGUUUAAUCUUUAUCUGACCUACUAUGAUAAAUACGAUUUGUUUUAUUCGUUUUAACAAUUUUAACAUAACGUUCUGGGUACUGCUAUAAGCAUUCCGGCAUUUCAAACGUUAAUAAAACAUUUCCAAAGAAGUCAUCUUUGCUUUAGACCGCUCUGAUUCUCAAGGGGUCACAACGUCGUCUGCUUGUGUUUACAGGUCUGACAAUGCUUAUCGGCAGUGUCGGGUUUAAAACAUUGGCCUUAUUUAUAAAAAUACAUAAAUUAUGUCAGAUAAAUAUAUGUAUAUCAUACUAAGAAUAAACCGAUAUGGUUACAUGGUUAACGAUUAGACGUUUCAUCUGAAUGUGAAUAUCACUCCGUUACUGUACUGAAUACUAGGCCUACAUGCUUUUUAGCUCGUCUCUUCGAAGAAGAGUGAGAGCUUAUGUCGUCACUCCGGCGUCGGCGUUGGUUUUUCAAAUGUUAAAUUUUUGGUGCAAGUGUUGAAAGGCACAGUAGUUUAUGGUAAUAUGGUCACUGUUAGGGUCAAACUAUCCCUGCCGGAGUUAAACUAAAAGA